Long non-coding RNA from Pezoporus occidentalis (night parrot), 5457 nucleotides. RefSeq lists it as uncharacterized. The transcript has 6 exons. NCBI's taxonomy places the organism in Eukaryota, Metazoa, Chordata, Aves, Psittaciformes, Psittacidae. The record is from RefSeq and is a predicted model, not a curated record.
GUAUCCGCGUCUGAGAAGUUUUAGCCUGUGCACACACUAUUUCCCCUUCCUUUCUAACCUCCCCCCUUUCUUUCCCUCCCCUCUGCCAGUCCUCGGUUAUCUCUAGGGUUAAAAUCCAGACGUGCCUCCCUUUCUAUCCUGUUUUCUCAGGUCUCCUUCCCCCCCCUGCUCGGAAACAGUGGAGGGUCCCCCCCAGUCGUCACUGCUCGCCUUCAGCCCGGGCCGCGGGUGCCGGUUUACCGUGUGCCUGGCUGUAGGAGACCCUGGCCCUGGCAUGGGCGGAAUUGGCGUAGUAGGGAUUGCCUUGGGAGUCCAGGUGGUUGAAGAAGACAUCGACUUCAUCCGGAGGAGUUUUCCCAGCUGGCUUCAAAAGCGGGGUGAAAAAGGAAGAACGGCAGAUCCAAUACAGAGUAGUGCCAGCAAGAACUGGGACUGACACAAAAGGAAAAGGAGGGGGAGAAAGAAGGGGGGAGAAGGCGAAGAGGAGGGAGGAGAAGGGUGUUUAGUGAAAGCAGCGAGUGCGCCCUGGCAGCGGCCCCCCCCGCACCCCGCACUUACCGGCUGGCGGUGGGAGCCGGCGUGGAGACCGCGAAUACGGCGGAGAGGGGAGGAAGGAGGGGGGGAAAUGGGGAGGGAAUUAAAAAUAAGAGAAGCCCCGAGUGCGGGGGGAUCGGAGCUGCAGGGUGUUACUCAGAUGGCAAAGCCGCUGCUCUGGCCGGCGCGGUCCCAUCCCCGCGCAUCCUAUAUGAGCGCUGGCGCCAGCUGGCCGCGGCGCCGCAGACGGUCCGGGGCGCGCAGGGCCGGCGGGGCGGCCGGGACAGCCAAUCCCGGCAGCCGAUCCCGCAGAUCCCGCCGCCCCACACCGCCCCCAGCCGCACCCCCGGCCCGAACGGAGCCGGCCUGGGGAGGGGGGGAGCAGCGCGGACCCCCCUCCUCCGCCUCCUGCCCCCCCGCAGCAUCCUCCGGCAGCGCCGAGGGGGCUUUCCCUGCCUGGGCGCUGCACGCCCCUGCGGGGCGGGGACGGAGAAAUGGGGGGGGGGUCCCGCUGGGGUGUGCGGGGAUGCGGAGGGGCAUGGGCCCACGCUUUGGUGCGGGGGGACCGGAGCGGGCAAUAGGGCCAGCUCCGCCGGGUGCUGCCCCCGACCGUGGCUUCCAGCGCCGCCGCCGGGAUGCCCGGGGCGAGGGGGGUGGAAGUCAGCACCGGGGAGAUGAGUACGUUAAAAUUCCCUUAAAGCAGGCACAGCAGCGCGCAGCCGGGAGCGGGGCUAACCCCAGCGUGGCUGUUCCCAUCGUGUUAGUUUGAAAUAACUGUCUGAACGGGGAAAUAACCGAAUAAUUGCGCUGCUCCUCAGAGCCCGGCAGGCUGAGAAGAGGGAGCGGGGCCCCGCCGGGCAGGCGGCGGAUAAGGGACGGGUCCUGCCCGGCUCCCGGGGAGGCAGUGCUGGGGUCGGGCCUGGCUGGGGCUCGCUGGAGGCUGCGGCAGCGGGGAGCCGAGCCGAGGGGGGCCGGGGACCUGCUGCGGCCUCCCCGACGGGGCUGCGGCGCCAACACCCCGCGUGUUCUGCUUCUCCCCUUAAAAUAAAAUUGAAAAACCCCACAACCAAACCACCAACAGAACCCUCCAAAGAUUCAAUUUUAACACUCGCAGUUACUCGUGAGCGAGGGCAGAGGCGCAGCCCGCUUCAACAGGCGUUUUCCGCGGAGUUCGCGGCGCAGCUCGGGUUCUGCCACCCUCGAAGGUGCGGACAAAGCCACCCGCUUUUGGGGCAGAAAAUGAUAUUAUUAAUACUAAUAACAGUGAGAAAGCCAGAGAUUGCCCGCGCCCCGGAGCGCUGCCGGGCGCUGUGGGGGUCCCGUUCCCCUGCACUGCCCUCCCGCGCCUCCGUCGUCGCUUUCGCGGGAAAUAGGAACAGCUCGUCCCGAUCCCGUAAAGCUCCGACCUGGACCCGGGGCGAAGGAGCUGCCCCUCACCCGGGAGAGGGCAGGGGGGAGCCGAACACGGCCCGCCGCCCCCUCGGCAGCGGCUCCAGCCCGACGGCGCGGCCGGGGAGGGGGCUCGGGAGCCGGUCGGGGCCGGGCCGGGGCCCAGCGGGGGGGGCCGGAGGACGAGGAAGAUGGUGCCGGUGCUGCCCCGGCCGCCCCAGUCACCACGACGCCGGGGCUCUGACGUCACCCGUCACUGCCAAAUUCGCCAGGAAAUGAACUUUUUUUUUCUUUUUAAUAAUAACAAUAAUAAUAAUGAUGAUGACGGUAAUAAUAAAACUCCUUUUCCUCGCUGCCGAUCCCGUCUCACCGGAGCGAUUCGGGCUCCCUCCAUAGCUAUUCCCUCACCACCAUCACCCCUUGUUCCCUCCAAGCAUCCCCCAGGGGCACCCCCAGCGCAGACCCGGAGAGGAGAACAGGCAACGCGGCCCGGGAUGGCUUCUACGGAGGCUGGGGCUGGGGGAGCCGGCUUUGCUCCCCCUCUCCCCGCAUCCUUUCCUCUUGCACCCGAAGCCAGGACUCCCCAAGGCCCUGCUUUCGGGGCUUGGCCGUGCCCCUCGCCCCCCUCCGCUGGGGGGAUGCCAAGCAGCUGAUCCGGGCGGCAGCUCCUCGCUUGGCUGCCGGCCGCAGCAGGGACGGCGGAGCCGGCUUCUCUCCGGCCGGGCUGGGUGGUCGGGGCAGGCCGGGGCCAGCGCUGGGGCUGGGCGGGGAAGCGGGGCCGGGCCUUGGGGUGCCCGGGCGCCCAGGGCCGGAGGUGCCAAGGAGGAAAGGGAAACAAAGCAAUUAAAAAAGAAAGAAAAAGGAAAGUCAAAAGCGAGAGAACCUGGGAGCUUUCGAAAAACCCGGCUUCGACCUCCGAAGCGAUUUUCUUUCUGCACGCAUCAAAACCCCCACAAAUCCACUCAAAUAUCCCCCCCAAAGGAAUUUAUUCUUUUUUAUUUUCCGAAGGAAGGGUGAGUAUAAACUGAACGCGGCCGGUUGCAGGUCGGUCCCCUCGGCGUCUCGUUAUCCCCGCAGCCCGGGGGCUGCCGGAGCCGGGGCGCUCCGUGCCCGCGAUCCCUCCCGGAGCAGCCGGGAUCAUCCCGGGCCCGGCCGGAGCGGGCCCAGCGCCUAGCUGCGCCUUUAUUAAUCAAUAUGGCUGUUUAAUUACUGCCCGCUGCCACCAGCAUGGGGCCGCGCUAGGUUUUUUCUUGGGGGGGGCGAGCGGGGUGGGCUGUUUGUUUUAGGCAGGUGAUAAAAUCGCAGUUAACGAGCUGAUAAUUCGUUCGUGUUUGUUUUAAAAGACAAAUUGUAAAGAUUAAUCAGGCGGUUUGAUUUAUGGCGAGGCAGACCCCGGCGCUGCCCGGCCGGGGCUCCCUGAAGCCCCUGUCUCGGGUUACCGGGGGGCGAAGCGAAACAAAAGGGGCGAACCAGAGACGGAGGCGGCAGCUCCUGGGGUCGGGUCCCGCCAUUCCCGAGCCGGGGUCCGGCGCCUUUCCUCGCACCCUCCCCCCGCCUCUAAAUCCCUCUGUAACUGAAGGACCCCUUUAUCAGGGAUGGACGAUUUCAGCUGAGGAAGCGGCUGAAUUCCCGCGGGAGGUUUUCCUCCAGCCGCCUCCCAGGGUUUCACUUGAGUUUAUUUCGCUGUUUCUAUCGCCGCCGCUUCCCGGCCUCGCUGCCAGCGUUUGCCGACCCGGCCGCCGCUGCGGACUCGGCCGCUAAUGCCCCGGCGGCAGGGCUGGCGGUUAAUUGAAUUAAUUCCCCGUCGGGAGAAGCAGCAGCAGCAGCUCUGCACCCGCGUCCCGGUGAGCAGCUCCCCCACAACCCUCUGGGGAGGCAGCGGGUCCGGGCAUUAACUCCGGUUUAUUAACUUCAUUUUGUUAUUCCCGUUGCAUUUCUUUUUUUUUUUUUCGGUUUUAAUCAGGAGCUUUCCCAGCUCUGGAAGCACAACUGGUUAUUUUGAUUUGAUUGACAAGUGAUGUCAUAUCGUUAAGGGAGAGGGGGGAGACGACAACGUGUUUUAGCAACAGUUAGAAGCCCUGUGUGAUGGAGUUGACACCUACGCCGGGGCAGAGGCGAAGGCAGAACCCCUCUUUCCCUAUCCACGCACACGGAAUUGGGUUUAUUCCUUUUGAUUUCCUUUUUUUUCCCUAUUCUGGGUGCUCGGACCCUCGCAGCCGGGAGUGGCUGGGCUGGAACCUCACCCCCAGCGACACUUCCCUCCAGACACCCCCUUCUCUGGUUAUUUCGGGCUCAGCUGGUGCAGGAAAGGGGCCGUUCCUGCAGGUUUCAUUUGCUUCCUCGCAAGCAAAACUCCGCUGGGGAGGGACGGAGCCCGAAACGGGCAGCGGUGCUCGUCUCGCCCGCGGUACCGGUCUCGGCUGCGUUCCCCCUGUAAGCCGCGGGGCACGGACCAGGGCGGCAUGGGACUUCCGAGGUCUUUCGGGCUAUGCACCUGCAAGUAGGAGAAGCAGCGGAGAAGCUGAAAGAGGCGCAAGCAGCUAUUUCUCCAGGAAUCGUUGUUGUAGCUAGGAAGGUAACGGUAAAACACACAUAGGAGAACCAGCCAAAACGAAUGGGUUUGGAAACGUUUGCGCUCCCCAGCCCCGGCUCUGCAGUCCUCACCUGACGGGUAUUUUGCUCCCGGGUCCUUGAUAUGCGGCAGAUAAUUCUUAUCAGCCCCACGCAGCCCAUUUCCAAAGAAGAGGGAGACGCUGCUGCCAGCCGCGCCCUGGGAUCGCCCCUGCACGGAACGACUCUAAACCGAGGGAUCGUCGCUCGGGCGGGAAAACUACGGCAAAAGCGGGGUUUGAAUCCUGCAGAUUGCUCCCCGCGCGGGGACAAACGAGGGCGGCCGCUCCGGGGCUCGGGGAGGGGCUGAGACCGGCGGAGCGCGGGACCCCGCUGUCCCGGGUUGCCCCGGGCCAGGGCCAUCCACCGAGUGCCACCAACGGCAUUGGGGGCCGGAGGGGCACGGGUGCGAUUUGCUCUUCUUUCCCGCUGGAAGAGAAGGAUGUUUUCCUCUGCUCUUUAGGUUUCCUACUAAAGAUGUCAUCUGAAAGUCUGGGAAGGAGCGGGGACCGUGCUCUGCUUCUUCCACGGUAACAACCAUAUUCUGCAUAUCGAACAAUACAACAGACAGUGGGAAAGGCUGAAACCCCCCGAAAAAAAAUAAGGAGAAAAAAAAAAUUAAAAAAGAAAAAAUCCCCAACCUUUUCAAUAUUGAUUAAAAAAAAAAAAAAAGGAGAAAAUUUAAAAAGAGAAGAAGCAGCACCAGCAGCAAGGAGAAUAUAGGCUCAGCAGCUCUCCAGGUUCGCUUCCUUAUUAUUACUAUCCAGGGGUAAUUUUUCAUCUCUGCUAGCUAAUCUUUGUUCCUUGUGAAGAUAAUGAAUAGCCCAAUCCUUAUCUCCUGGGCUCCUGGAGGCUGCUGGAGAAUGGGGUUGAACAGGGUUGAAAAUUGGUUCCAAAGUGCUGCUGAAUAAAUGGUGUUCCUUA